UACGUAGGGUGCAAGCGUUGUCCGGAAUUAUUGGGCGUAAAGAGCUCGUAGGCGGUCUGUCGCGUCGGCUGUGAAAACCUGGGGCUUAACCCCGGGCCUGCAGCCGAUACGGGCAGACUAGAGUUCGGCAGGGGAGACUGGAAUUCCUGGUGUAGCGGUGAAAUGCGCAGAUAUCAGGAGGAACAUCCGUGGCGAAGGCGGCUCUCUGGGACGGUACUGACGCUGAGACGCGAAAGCGUGGGGAGCGAACAGG
Molecule: ribosomal RNA, 253 nt
Filed under: uncultured bacterium
Lineage: Bacteria
Description: partial 16S ribosomal RNA
Rfam family: Bacterial small subunit ribosomal RNA
Source: RNAcentral